Molecule: small nuclear RNA, 107 nt
Organism: Petromyzon marinus (sea lamprey)
Lineage: Eukaryota; Metazoa; Chordata; Hyperoartia; Petromyzontiformes; Petromyzontidae
Source: Ensembl
GUACUCGCUACGGCGGUACAUUUGCAAAAAUGGGAAGGAUACGGAGACGAUUAGCAAGGUCCGUGCUCAAGGCUGACGCACACAGUUGUGCAGCGUUACAUAGAGAA